Diorhabda carinulata is the source of this 1917-nucleotide long non-coding RNA. RefSeq lists it as uncharacterized. The transcript is spliced from 3 exons. NCBI's taxonomy places the organism in Eukaryota, Metazoa, Arthropoda, Insecta, Coleoptera, Chrysomelidae. The record is from RefSeq and is a predicted model, not a curated record.
AGUGUAGUUCAAUGGUCAAGAUAUGAGAUAUGAUUAAAAAAGAAGAAUUAUCAGUAAUGGAAAAUCAAAUAAAAAGGUUUAGAGAAGUCUAUAGUAGAUCCAAUGUGAUAAAAUUGGUAAAAAAGAGGUUAUAAUAGGUUCUAAAAAGACUUUUCUGGUUGUUUAAUUAGGGAAAAAACAUAAAUGGAAAGAUAAAAGUGAUGUUGAUAUUGUAUAAGGAAGAUUAAUUGGAAAAAAAUUUUGUAAAACAGCCUAAAAAUAAAAGGUGAUUUCGCGAGACAAGGAUUAUUCUAACGAGAAUACCGGCAAUUUGAAAUAUUAUAUAGAGAAAACUUUUCUUAGUUUAUUUAAAUAUACAUACAUCAUCAAUCCGAUAUCUCCCAAAUAUGUUUACCAUUGUAUUGGAAAACACAUUCAAAUAAUUAUCAUGGGAAUAAAAGGGGAUGGAUUCUACUUUAGAAAACUGCACUUUGAAGACUAUAUAGUAAUAGUUUUGAGUGAUAUUGAUGAGUAAUGUUGAAAGAACUCAAGAGGUCAGUAAAGAACGUUGGGUUAACGCGGAACAUGAGCAACAUAACUGAUACAAUAACAAAUGUAAUCAUAUAACAUCCUGGUAUUAAAAAUGUCAAUGAGUGUAUCACAAGAUAAAUUUGGGAAAAGAAAACCAGACUACCGAAAUGAAAACAAGAAUUGACUUAAUUUUUCGCAGUAUUUGAUAAGCUUUGUCAUAUCCUAAAGGACAUAAUCAUCUUAAGUAACAUAAAAAGGAAAGUAUAUGAAUCAUGUAUACUUCCCAUAGUAUCACAAGGGAGCUAUAACCGGUUAACAAUAAUUUUUCAGUUCAAUCUGGUUUUUCUCGGCGAGCCCCCACAUGGCUAAGGAAGCUCGGCCCGGAUUAUAAUGAAUUUUUUAUAAGGACUUCCAGGAUAAACACACAAACUCAUGAAUCCAGGAAACCGAGUGAAUUUUGCCUCAAAUGCAUUGAAAUCGAAUUAACUUAACUUAAAUGUAACAUAUCCACUGUUUUUGAUUAACUCCAAUAGUCUCAUAAGGGAUCUAUAUCCGGUUUACAAUAAUUUAACCAGUUUAAUCUGGUUUUUCUCGCUCUUAUAAGGGCUUCCAGGAUAAGCACACAAACUCAGGAAACCAAGUGAUUUUUGUCUCAAAUGCGUGGAAAUUGAAUAUACCUAACCUAACUUAAACCAACCUAAUCCAUAAGAUGAAUCUAACACGCCCUCUGUUUUUAUUAGCUCCCAUAGUCUCAUAAGGGAGCUAUAACCGGUUAAUAACAAUUUAACCAGUUCUAUCUGGUUUUUCUAGGCAAGUGCUCGCUUUUUUGCGUCCCCACAUGGAUGAGGGAGCUCGGUUCAGAUUCUAGUAGUAACUAUAAAAAUCUUUUAAGUGUAAUGAACACUGAAUAUAAGCUAGGCGAAUAUUUGGACCACUAAUCUCCCAUUGGUGCAGAGUUCGUUUAGCGACCACCAGCGUUACUCCGAUGUCCUCGAAAGUCAAGUUUUUCGACUUCGGGUAGAAUCACUCCGCGAUCCAGAGCCGUGAAUUUCGCGACGAGGUAAGUGACGACCUCGAAAGUAGUGAAAAUGUCUUUUCGGGCGAAACGCGAACAGAUAAUUCCUAAAGCUAAUUAUAAAGGAUCCCAGGAUAAACACAAAAACUUUAGCGUCCCAAAAGUCGUUUAAUCGUUUCUAGACCUCCCUAAUUCAGUUAGAGCCGCGAAUUUUGCGGCCUGGUAAGCGAAGUCCUCGAAAAUAUUGAAAGUAUCUUCAGACGAAACUUGAACAAAUAGUACCUAGAGCACAUUAUACAGCAUCCCAGGAUAAAUACCCAAACUCAAGCUCCCCAUGGUAGGUGAUGUAGAAUAUGAGCUAAAAAAUUAACAUUUUUCUAGACUUACUUGCA